GAACGAGUUAAAAGUCACGUCUGAAAACUUUUUCCACACCGCAGCUUGGAUGCUGGGUAGAGAAAAGGUGAAGACUUCUUUCUUCUGGAAUGAAAGAUUUUGAGGAAAAAUUUUCUCUUUUGGUCAGAAUUGUUUGACCACAUGUGCAAGGGAUUGGAGCAGGUAAUGAAUGACUUGUGAGAUACAGCUGCAUUUUAACAGACUGGCCUCACAGACUUCACAGAACAUGAUCAGAUUCACGAGCGAUAGAGAUUGCUCUGCAGGAAGAGGCUACGCUAGAAAUGUUCGCUCUCUCAAUACAGAAGCUAGGCACAAGAAGGGAGUAAAACACAGGAGCUCUUGGAAGCACUGAGCAUUCUGGAGGUUACAAGAGCAAAUCACCAAGCACAAAGGCAGUUCAACCUGGCAAUGCAAAGAAAGUCUAGAGGGGAGAAAAUUCCUGUUUGAAGAAAAGUCAGUUCAGCAAUCCAGCUGAAUAUACUUCACUCCUGGUUGUCUUCCAGGGCUGAAGACAUUCACCUGGUGCCACUAUGAUCUAUGACUGCUGAACAUCCCCUUGAAGUUUGUGGGAUCCAGCAAGAACUGCCUUGGGAAGCCUCAAGAGCAGAGACUUGAAACAACCUAUUCCAUGAGAAUUAGAGCUAAUGAAGCCUGGGCUUCUCUGUGAAUUUAUGUCUUAGUAUAAGCCUUCGGAUGCAGGGUCAAACUGAGGUUUUUGGAAUGCUCGGUAGGAGCAAUUCUCUGAGGAUUCUCUGAGAUCUAAUACUGUCAGCUUUGUGAUAAAUGCUUCCUUAAAAUAUACAUAGUUCAUUCAGUGGGUCAGCUCUUCUAAAUACUGAUUUUUACCCAACCUGGAGAAGCUUAGCUGUCCAUAGGAUAUGUUGACAAAAUAUUAAAGGCCACAAUGCAGCGAUAUAACAUGUGCCCCCUAAAAAUCAAUGCCCUCAGGAGCUUCAUUCUACAGGUUUUGCUUCUGUAUGAAAGAUAGUUAAA
This is a non-coding RNA of Cyanistes caeruleus (blue tit), 993 nucleotides long. NCBI's taxonomy places the organism in Eukaryota, Metazoa, Chordata, Aves, Passeriformes, Paridae. The record is from RefSeq and is a predicted model, not a curated record.